Molecule: long non-coding RNA, 634 nt
Organism: Columba livia (rock pigeon)
Lineage: Eukaryota; Metazoa; Chordata; Aves; Columbiformes; Columbidae
Exons: 2
Source: RefSeq, a predicted model, not a curated record
GACGGGCGAGUGCAGAUACCCCACUGUUCCGCGGAGCUGCGGGGGCCCACACACCGUCACGCCCCCGCGCUUCCAGCCCCAACCGCCCAGCACCCCACGGCCGUCCCCAUCCAGCGCCCGCCGCCCCAACAAGGUAGGGAUGACAGAGGUGGGGAGGGGGAUGCUGAGCCUGCGGGGGGAUCUGUGCCUCAGUUUCCCCAGGGAGAGCUGGCUGGGGGAGGGUUGCUGGGGGAUGCGGAACGGGGCCCCGUGUUUGGGUCACACGCUCUCCCCUUCCCAGAAGGACGCGAUGCAGCUGUCGGGCCAGGACGGCACUGAUGGGAAGCGGCAGGACGAGCAGCUCUCCAUGAUGGGGGGCUCUCAGCUGCCCACAACACCAACGGCCACCCCAGAGACCUCGACCUCGAGGAGCCAGAAAAGCACCGCCUCCCCGCUGCUGUUAGCCGUGCUGAAGCGCCGACCAGCCUCAUCUCCCGGACGCCUCACCCAGGCACCGAAGCUGCUGCCGCCCAUCCAGCCCCCCCGCAGCGAAACAACCCCCUGACAGCCGGGCAGGACGGGGGUCCCGGCCCCGGUCCCACCGCCCCGGGCGCUGAGCAGGCAGCGGCUGCAAUAAAUGGCGAUGGGCAACCAA